AGGCAGUGUUGUUAGCUGGCUGCG
This 24-nucleotide microRNA is filed under the name Mus musculus (house mouse). RNAcentral describes it as "Mmu-Mir-34-P3b_5p (mature (guide))". The record is from RNAcentral. Lineage: Eukaryota; Metazoa; Chordata; Mammalia; Rodentia; Muridae.